GAUGUCACUCGCUGUUGGGGACGUCAGGCCUUGUCCCCGCAAAUGACUCGUGUUAUUCACCUGCUGGGGAGUACCGUCGCGAUAUUACUAAUCAAAGGAAUUGACGGGGACCCGCACAAGCGGUGGAUGAUGUGGAUUAAUUCGAUGCAACGCGAAAACCUUACCUACCCUUGACAUGUCUGGAGAUGUGAAGAGAUUUGGGUCCGCUCGGACGAGAACCUAGAACACUGGUGCUGUGUGGUUGUCUUCUGCUCUUGUCUGUUGAUGUUGGGUUAACUCCCGCAACGAGCGCUACCCUUGUCAUUCAUUGCUACACGUGGGGACUCUAAUGAGACUGCCUGUGACAAACCGGAGGAAGGUGGGGAUGACGUCAAGUCCUCAUGGCCCUUAUGGGUAGGGCUUCACACGUCCUACCAUGGUCGGGACAGAGGGUCGCCUACCCGCGAGGGGGAGCCUAUCCCUUAAACCCCUAUCGUAGUCCGGAUUGGGGUCUGCAACUUCGACCGCCUGAAGUCGGAAAUCGCUAGUAAUCGCGGAUCACAAUGUCGCGGUGAAUACGUUCCCCGCGGUCUUUGUACACACCCGCCCCGUCCCACCCUGGGAGUGUGGGUUGUACCCUUAAAAUACUGUAGCCUAACCGGAAGGAGGGCGAUUAACACCCGUAGGAUUCGUGACUGGGGUG
Molecule: ribosomal RNA, 682 nt
Filed under: Burkholderiales bacterium
Lineage: Bacteria; Pseudomonadati; Pseudomonadota; Betaproteobacteria; Burkholderiales
Description: bacterial SSU rRNA
Rfam family: Bacterial small subunit ribosomal RNA
Source: RNAcentral